GCUGAGAUGGCCGAUAUACCUCUUCAUUCCUGCUCUGGGAUCCUUAGACUCUGCUUCUCCCAUGUCCUCCUUGCCUUCUGGUGCACCUUUGUGGGCAGUGGCUCUGCAGUGAAAGUGAUCCAGACUCCAAGCUUUGCCCAUAACUCAGGAGGGGAAAAUAUUACCUUCCACUGCUCCGUUGAUAACACAGAGUAUCAUUUCUAUUGGUAUCGCCAACUGCCUGGGAAGUCAGAGCUUGAAGUCCUUGGAUAUCUCUACACUUACAGUAAAGCACUUGAAGGUACUCCACCUGAACUGAAAGCCCGGCUGAAAGGACAGGGUUCAAAGUUGGAGAACCCACCUAGGCGUGAAAUGAAUUUGGAAUUGUCAAAUCUUCAGCCGAAUGACGCAGGCUUGUAUCUGUGUGCUGGGGUGUACACAGUGAAAGAGAAAAGAACAGUGGCAGCUACACUGGCUGACAUCUGGACCGACAUCUAUGAGAGAAGAUAA
Thamnophis elegans (Western terrestrial garter snake) is the source of this 489-nucleotide non-coding RNA. NCBI's taxonomy places the organism in Eukaryota, Metazoa, Chordata, Lepidosauria, Squamata, Natricidae. The record is from the annotation of a RefSeq genome assembly.